Etheostoma cragini (Arkansas darter) is the source of this 383-nucleotide long non-coding RNA. RefSeq lists it as uncharacterized. The transcript has 3 exons. The record is from RefSeq and is a predicted model, not a curated record. NCBI's taxonomy places the organism in Eukaryota, Metazoa, Chordata, Actinopteri, Perciformes, Percidae.
ACAACCUUCAAGAAAAGGGUCAUCCAGCGGUGUAAGGCUCUCCCUUCCUCAAGUGACCUCCAAGAUCGGAUCUAUUGUGCAGAUUCAAAUGAAUGGGAAAUGGAGAAUAACAUUAUUGCCUCUGGAUGGGACAGUGAUCUGUCUUCAAUCAUUCUCCUCCUCCACCUGAUUCCUCCAACUGCCCAGGGGCGGAAAAGGCCAGGCAAGGUGUCUGCAUCCCAAGCUGUCGUGUUAAAGAAAGUGGAACAAGCAUCCAGGAACACAUUGAUGCCCUCAACAGCACCCCUCAACCCUAUCUACUUGCUGUUGGCAGGAAGAGGAGCGCAAUCCAUGAGUUCUUUAUCAUUCUGGACAAGCAGGUCAUACCCUACAACUCAACCACU